GGCUAUCAUGCAAGUCGAGCGGACAGAAGGGAGCUUGCUCCCGGAUGUUAGCGGCGGACGGGUGAGUAACACGUGGGUAACCUGCCUGUAAGACUGGGAUAACUCCGGGAAACCGGAGCUAAUACCGGAUAGUUCCUUGAACCGCAUGGUUCAAGGAUGAAAGACGGUUUCGGCUGUCACUUACAGAUGGACCCGCGGCGCAUUAGCUAGUUGGUGGGGUAAUGGCUCACCAAGGCGACGAUGCGUAGCCGACCUGAGAGGGUGAUCGGCCACACUGGGACUGAGACACGGCCCAGACUCCUACGGGAGGCAGCAGUAGGGAAUCUUCCGCAAUGGACGAAAGUCUGACGGAGCAACGCCGCGUGAGUGAUGAAGGUUUUCGGAUCGUAAAGCUCUGUUGUUAGGGAAGAACAAGUGCGAGAGUAACUGCUCGCACCUUGACGGUACCUAACCAGAAAGCCACGGCUAACUACGUGCCAGCAGCCGCGGUAAUACGUAGGUGGCAAGCGUUGUCCGGAAUUAUUGGGCGUAAAGGGCUCGCAGGCGGUUUCUUAAGUCUGAUGUGAAAGCCCCCGGCUCAACCGGGGAGGGUCAUUGGAAACUGGGAAACUUGAGUGCAGAAGAGGAGAGUGGAAUUCCACGUGUAGCGGUGAAAUGCGUAGAGAUGUGGAGGAACACCAGUGGCGAAGGCGACUCUCUGGUCUGUAACUGACGCUGAGGAGCGAAAGCGUGGGGAGCGAACAGGAUUAGAUACCCUGGUAGUCCACGCCGUAAACGAUGAGUGCUAAGUGUUAGGGGGUUUCCGCCCCUUAGUGCUGCAGCUAACGCAUUAAGCACUCCGCCUGGGG
This 848-nucleotide ribosomal RNA is filed under the name Bacillus pumilus. RNAcentral's name for it is "bacterial SSU rRNA". It matches the Rfam family "Bacterial small subunit ribosomal RNA", at positions 46 to 878 of the family's 1533-position model. Lineage: Bacteria; Bacillati; Bacillota; Bacilli; Caryophanales; Bacillaceae. The record is from RNAcentral.